UACGUAGGGUGCGAGCGUUAAUCGGAAUUACUGGGCGUAAAGCGUGCGCAGGCGGUUCGUUAAGUUCGUUGUGAAAGCCCCGGGCUCAACCUGGGAACUGCAAUGGAAACUGGCGGGCUUGAGUAUGGCAGAGGGGGGUGGAAUUCCGCGUGUAGCAGUGAAAUGCGUAGAGAUGUGGAGGAACACCAGUGGCGAAGGCGACUUUCUGGCCUAUAACUGACGCUGAGGCGCGAAAGCGUGGGGAGCAAACAGG
This 253-nucleotide ribosomal RNA is filed under the name uncultured bacterium. RNAcentral's name for it is "partial 16S ribosomal RNA". It matches the Rfam family "Bacterial small subunit ribosomal RNA", at positions 524 to 776 of the family's 1533-position model. The record is from RNAcentral.